This 362-nucleotide ribosomal RNA is filed under the name uncultured Ruminococcus sp. Its description in RNAcentral is "bacterial SSU rRNA". It matches the Rfam family "Bacterial small subunit ribosomal RNA", at positions 1032 to 1394 of the family's 1533-position model. Lineage: Bacteria; Bacillati; Bacillota; Clostridia; Eubacteriales; Oscillospiraceae. The record is from RNAcentral.
AGACAGGUGGUGCAUGGUUGUCGUCAGCUCGUGUCGUGAGAUGUUGGGUUAAGUCCCGCAACGAGCGCAACCCCUAUCCUUUGUUGCCAGCGCUUCGGGUGGGGACUCUGAAGAGACUGCCCGGGAUAAACCGGAAGAAGGGGGGGAUGACGUCCAAUCAUCAUGGCCCUUAUGACUUGGGCUACACACGUGCUACAAUGGCGUAAACAAAGGGAAGCGAAGCCGUGAGCGGGAGCAAAUCCCAAAAAUUGCGUCCCAGUUCGGAUUGGAGUCUGCAACUCCACUACAUGAAGCUGGAAUCCCUAGUAAUCCCGAAUCAAAAUGGCGCGGUGAAUACGUUCCCGGGUCUUGUACACACCGAA